UAAGAUAAAUUUAUAAAAUAAUUCAUUUACAUUGAAUAGAUUAAUUUAGUGAAAAAAUUAGAAUUUUAA
RNAcentral lists this transfer RNA (69 nucleotides) under Acropyga donisthorpei. RNAcentral's name for it is "tRNA-Val". Lineage: Eukaryota; Metazoa; Arthropoda; Insecta; Hymenoptera; Formicidae. The record is from RNAcentral.